CGAUGAGUACUAAGUGUCGGGGAAACUCGGUACUGAAGUUAACACAUUAAGUACUCCGCCUGAGUAGUACGUACGCAAGUAUGAAACUUAAAGGAAUUGACGGGACUCCGCACAAGCGGUGGAUCAUGUUGUUUAAUUCGAAGAUACACGAAAAACCUUACCAGGUCUUGACAUACUCUGCAAAGCUAUAGCAAUAUAGUGGAGGUUAUCAGGGAUACAGGUGGUGCAUGGUUGUCGUCAGCUCGUGUCGUGAGAUGUUAGGUUAAGUCCUAAAACGAGCGCAACCCUUGUCACUAGUUGCCAGCAUGUUAUGAUGGGCACUUUAGUGAGACUGCCAAUGAAAAAUUGGAGGAAGGUGAGGAUCACGUCAAAUCAUCAUGCCCCUUAUGAUCUGGGCUACAAACGUGAUACAAUGGCUGUUACAAAGAGUAGCUAAAACGCGAGUUUAUAGCCAAUCUCAUAAAAGCAGUCUCAGUUCGGAUUGAAGUCUGCAACUCGACUUCAUGAAGUUGGAAUCGCUAGUAAUCGCGAAUCAGCAUGUCGCGGUGAAUACGUUCUCGGGGUUUGUACACACCGCCCGUCAAACCACGAAAGUUGGUAAUACUCGAAAACGGUAGCCUAACU
RNAcentral lists this ribosomal RNA (624 nucleotides) under Star grass white leaf phytoplasma. RNAcentral describes it as "bacterial SSU rRNA". It matches the Rfam family "Bacterial small subunit ribosomal RNA", at positions 807 to 1440 of the family's 1533-position model. The record is from RNAcentral. Lineage: Bacteria; Bacillati; Mycoplasmatota; Mollicutes; Acholeplasmatales; Acholeplasmataceae.